UAAACGGCUCCUCUUGGAGCCACUGCAGUUCGGAAUUCGGAUACUU
Molecule: non-coding RNA, 46 nt
Organism: Calocera cornea HHB12733
Lineage: Eukaryota; Fungi; Basidiomycota; Dacrymycetes; Dacrymycetales; Dacrymycetaceae
Source: Rfam